Long non-coding RNA from Poecilia latipinna (sailfin molly), 417 nucleotides. RefSeq lists it as uncharacterized. The transcript is spliced from 3 exons. The record is from RefSeq and is a predicted model, not a curated record. NCBI's taxonomy places the organism in Eukaryota, Metazoa, Chordata, Actinopteri, Cyprinodontiformes, Poeciliidae.
AGUUAAAUGCUGUUUUCUACUAAAACUUUUUCCACAAUUCACACAUGUAAACAUAUUUUCACCAGCGUGAAUCAUCAGGUGUUGAGUUAAACUAACUUUCUGACGAAAACUUUUUCCACAGUUCCCACAUGAAAAUGGCUUUUCACCAGUGUGAAUCAUCAUGUGCCGAGUUAAAUGCUGUUUGUGAAUAAAACUUUUUCCACAGGUCACACAUGAAAACGGCUUCCCAACAGUGUGAAUUAUCAUAUGCUGAGUUAAACUAACUUUCUGACAAAAACUUUUUCCACAGGUCACACAUGAAAAUGGCUUUUCACCAGUGUGAAUCAUCAUGUGUUCAGUUAAAAAUUGAUUUAGACGAAAACUUUUUCCACAGGUCACACAUGAAAACGGUUUUUCACUGUUGUGAAUCUUCAUGUG